GAGAGAAAGUGAGAUCUCUAAACUGAACCAAACUAGCAAACAGUGAAAGGGUAAAGGUUUUAGGUAAAACUGGGGACUUAAUGUGGCUAAGGGAAUGGUACGUGCAAAGACUUGGAUGUGGGCAGAGCCUCUGAACAUCUGACAAACUCUGAGGGCUCCAUGGUUUGGAGUCUACAGUAGAAAGGAGAAAAGAAAUAGUAAAAGAUGGGGCUGGAGAGAAAGUAAAGCCAGCUCGUUAACCAUUUAUUAGGUGAAGGAGUUUGGACAUUAACCUGAUGUCAACGAGGAGCAAACAAUUCAGGACUGUUAAUCGGGGACCAUUAUGAAGCAUGAGAGGAGCAAGCACAGAAACUGAGUUGAGCGUCAUUGCAAGGUCAAUUAACUCCUUUGUUUCAACUCCUCUGUUUGGAGAAUGGCUCUCUCAUUGCUUGUCACUCAGCUUUCUCCCAUGAAAUAUAAUGAAGAAGGAAGUAGCACUGACAAAUUGAAAUUGAAUGGAACUGAGAAUUCAAGGAUCUAUGAUUUGCACCUGGUCCGCUAGUUAAAAUGAAUUUCUCUGUUAUUUGUUGGAGAGACUUAAGUACCACCUGUGAGAAAAGAAAGAAAAAAGGUCAAAUAACAGAAGUAAAGCAAAGAAUAUUUAAAUUGGGACAUAGAAAGAAGACGAUUUUGGAAAGAAAAAAAAGAGUGUGGGGGAGAAGUUGAGAAGGAACGUCAGCACAUCCUGUAAUUCAAGAGGGAGAGGAGAGAAUCUGCGACUUGUUUUUCCUCUUGUAGGCAAAUUACAGUAAAACUUGAAACUAAGAAGUAAGGUGUGGAAAAAGCUGGCAGUGUAAGUGUGUGAAAAGGUAGAAUAAGCUUAAAGAUGGUUUUCUUAUAACAGUUUGGCUACCUGUUGAUUCUCUUCUAACCAAAGAGGUGAAAAAGAUGAGUUGAGAAAAAAAGAUGCACACAGAGAGAGCAUGCAAGUCACCAGAACAUCUAAAGGCAGUCCUUAUCUGAAGACGUUCAGAGGGAAUGGCAGCGGUGGAUCCUUGGGUUAUUUGACAGCUUUGAAGAAACAAACUGGCCUGCUGUCAGUAUCCCCAUGGAGAGGAACUGAGGACAGCCUCUGACUAACAGUCAGGAAGAAAGAUCUUUCUCCAGCAAGAAGCAGCUCUUUCUAAAGUCCCAUCCUCAGAUGAGACUCUAACCCUGAUGGGCACAUUGAUUCCAGCUUUGUGAGAUCCUGAAGCAAAGGACCGAGGAACAGAAAAUUGAAAAGACGCCAUUGGAAAAUGGAGAAAAUGAAAAAAAUUAUGGAAAAACGUGGCCAGAUGUUGCUAUGCUUUGAUGAUCUAAGGGUCCAGCAGUGGAAGAACCAACCAGAUGUCCAGCUGCUUCGGAUCCUGACGAUGGGCGACACUAGGAAAAAAUAGCAUGAUGACUGACUGAACCUGAAAUUCCUAAACAAACAGUGCCUGCAGCCAAAGCUUCCAGAUAACGCUUUAUUGGAGGGAUUUAAUCCCAGGGAAAACGGAUUGAAAAAUUGGAAAGAAAGGCAGGGAAGAGCAAAUAUAACGUGGUGUGUUAACCAGCUGGCUACAGCUUCCCGAAAAACAUGUCUGCUUUCUCAGUCAAGUGUCAUGUCUCCAGAGACGUAUUAUGGAACCAUUGAGUUUCUGGUUGGCCCUUGUUUCCCUUCUCACUUGUUCAGUCAUCCCAAGGGGCACCGCCUCCCUGGCACUUCCGUGUUCUGUUGCAGCGUUUCCAGGCCCCCGCUGAAGAAGCCAGAGCUUCUGUGCGUGCAGUCUGGUCAGAGAAAGCACAGAAGGCUCUGUUGUCAGCUGGCACUGCCAGUGGGGGCUUCUAGUUCUGUGGCAGCUGGCAGCACUGCGGAAAGCAGCUGUGGCUAUUCGACUACUGGAGUGGCAUGAGACAACAGAAAGAUUGUCCUGGCCUAGAAGUAAGGCAAUUGGCUGAGGCCUGUCAGGAUGGCAGGUAAUCAUAUCUGGAAUAAAGAAUAAACUGAGUCUGGUGUAAUGAUACAACUCAAUCUGCUACCAAUUUACGCUCAAUGCAGAUCACUUUCAAAAUUGAAGGACAUAAUUCAGUGUAACUAAUUUUAAAAGGAAAAAUAAAGGUGUAGGAAGAGAGUUGGUGAAUAUUUGGGAGAGGAGGAAAGAGAAAAUAAAAAUGAACAUUUCAGAUAUCUUGCACUUGUGCUCAGAGUGAAAAUAUUUAUCAUUAUAUUUUGGACGCUGCAAUUUUUCUUCCCCUCUUUUCAAAUGGGGGCCAAGGAAUGUUCCCACAGAAGACGAAUCGGCUAAUCUCACAUCCAGGGGGAACUUUGGCUCAUAAUAUCCCAUGUUCACUUCCCUAUGUGUUAUUUUAUGUCCUACAGACUCAAGAAAUAGGCAGCUUUCACUGUGGGGACCACUUCCUCCUUCUCCUGCCCUGAUUUCUUUCUCGCUCUGCUGUCUCAAAAAAGAAAAUGAAAUAAACUAAAACAGGUACAAUUCCAUAGUUUGUUCUAUUGCUGAUAUCUCUCAAAUUAACAUAUCUUUUAAAAAAUAUUUUCUCUCUUUUUCUUGAUUUGUUUAAGUUUAUAUUGAGUAUAAUGCACAUAUAGAAAAAUGCACAAACCAGAAAUGUACAGCACCGUGAAUCAUCACAAAGCUAAGUAAAACCGAAGACAAAAAAUGAUACUGGCCUCCUGAUAUGGCCCCUGUCAAUCAUUAAUGCUCCUCCACUUUAUAAUUAUAAGUAAUAUAAUAAAGGAAUAAUAUAAUAAAUUUUUUUUAUAUAUUUAUACUAUAUAUGUAUAUAUAAAAGUAUUCAUCAUAAUCCUAGGUUCUAUCACUGUGGAUCAUUUUUGCCAGGAUUGUCUCUUUAUUUGCAUAGAAUCACACCAUUUGCAUUCUUAGUGUCUGGCUUUCUUUACACAGAACUACGUUUGUCAAAUUCAUCUAUGUUUUGCAUGUGUAACUCAUGUGGAGAUAGUAGUCCUUACCAUAGAUAUAUAAUAUUCCAUUGUAUGAAAAUACCAUAAUUUAUAUAUCCAUCCUACGUUUGAUGAAUAUUGGGUGGUUAAGGUUUUUAAUUAUCAUGAAGAAUGCCAUUAUGAAGAAGCUAUACAUGUCAUUUCCUGCAUAUGUGUCUGCAAUUCUGUUGGAUAUAGCCCCAAGAAUAAAAUUUUGGGUUGACAGAGUAUGUAUAUUUUUUAAUUCAGAAGAAAAUGCCAAAGAAUUUCCCACAAUACUUGUAGCAAUUUACACUCUAACCAGAAGAGUAUGAGUUCCCACUGCUUUUGAUAAAACUUGACCUGCAGACUUUUUGGCCGUUUUGCUGCAAGUUUAGUGGUACCCAUAGAGUGGUUUCACAGUGUGAUUAUCUUGCUUUGAACCCAUUUUCGUAACUUUACUGGUCAAUUAGAUAUUCUGGGUUUUGAUGCGCCUCUUCAAGACUUUCCCCCAUUAUUCU
Molecule: long non-coding RNA, 3462 nt
Organism: Equus caballus (horse)
Lineage: Eukaryota; Metazoa; Chordata; Mammalia; Perissodactyla; Equidae
Source: Ensembl